GAUGAACGCUAGCGAUAGGCUUAACACAUGCAAGUCGAGGGGCAGCAUGGUCUUAGCUUGCUAAGACUGAUGGUGACCGGCGCACGGGUGCGUAACGCGUAUGCAACUUGCCUCACAGAGGGGGAUAACCCGUCGAAAGACGGACUAAUACCGCGUACACUUGGGAUAGGGCAUCCUGACCCAAGGAAAUGAAAUUCGCUGUGAGAUAGGCAUGCGUCCCAUUAGCUAGUUGGUGAGGUAACGGCUCACCAAGGCGACGAUGGGUAGGGGAACUGAGAGGUUGAACCCCCACACUGGUACUGAGACACGGACCAGACUCCUACGGGAGGCAGCAGUGAGGAAUAUUGGUCAAUGGGCGAGAGCCUGAACCAGCCAAGUCGCGUGAAGGAUGACUGUCUUAUGGAUUGUAAACUUCUUUUAUACGGGAAUAACAAGAGCCACGUGUGGCUCCCUGCAUGUACCGUAUGAAUAAGCAUCGGCUAACUCCGUG
RNAcentral lists this ribosomal RNA (490 nucleotides) under uncultured bacterium. RNAcentral describes it as "partial 16S ribosomal RNA". It matches the Rfam family "Bacterial small subunit ribosomal RNA", at positions 28 to 507 of the family's 1533-position model. The record is from RNAcentral.